RNAcentral lists this ribosomal RNA (434 nucleotides) under uncultured Lachnospiraceae bacterium. RNAcentral describes it as "partial 16S ribosomal RNA". It matches the Rfam family "Bacterial small subunit ribosomal RNA", at positions 341 to 792 of the family's 1533-position model. The record is from RNAcentral. Lineage: Bacteria; Bacillati; Bacillota; Clostridia; Lachnospirales; Lachnospiraceae.
ACGGAAGGCAGCAGUGGGGAAUAUUGCACAAUGGGGGAAACCCUGAUGCAGCGACGCCGCGUGAGUGAAGAAGUAUUUCGGUAUGUAAAGCUCUAUCAGCAAGGAAGAAAAUGACGGUACUUGACUAAGAAGCCCCGGCUAACUACGUGCCAGCAGCCGCGGUAAUACGUAGGGGGCAAGCGUUAUCCGGAUUUACUGGGUGUAAAGGGAGCGUAGACGGUAAUGCAAGUCAGAAGUGAAAGCCCAAGGCUCAACCAUGGGACUGCUUUUGAAACUGUAAUACUAGAGUGCAGGAGAGGUAAGUGGAAUUCCUAGUGUAGCGGUGAAAUGCGUAGAUAUUAGGAGGAACACCAGUGGCGAAGGCGGCUUACUGGGCUGUAACUGACGUUGAGGCUCGAAAGCGUGGGGAGCAAACAGGAUUAGAUACCCUGGUA